AUGAAGGUAAAGGUUUUAAAGGUGUACCCAUGGAAACAUUGGUCAUCAAUGUUGACAUGUGUUCUAGGAGGUCUCCAAACAUGUAUCAUAGGAAUAAUUAUGAGAAGGGACAAACUUGCUUGGCAAGUGGGAUGGAACAUUCAACUAUUAACAAUUGUCUACUCGGCUGCACUUGGCACAGCAGCCAAGUAUUGGUUAAAUCUCUAUGCUGUGGAAAAGCGAGGCCCCGUUUUUCCACCAAUGUUCAACAACUUAUCAGUUGUCUUCACCAUGGUUCUUGGAACAUUAUUACUAGGAGAAAGCCUCACGGUUGGGAGCUUGCUGGGUAGUACAGUGGUUUUUAGUGGUUUAUAUAUGUAUCUCUAUGGAAAGGCCAAAGAACUACACAUGAAGACGACAUCAGGUUCAAGCAAUGAAAAGCUUCAUGUGCAACCUACACAACUCAAAGUGUGA
This 453-nucleotide ribosomal RNA is filed under the name Triticum aestivum (bread wheat). Its description in RNAcentral is "partial small subunit ribosomal RNA". The record is from RNAcentral. Lineage: Eukaryota; Viridiplantae; Streptophyta; Magnoliopsida; Poales; Poaceae.